GACGAACGCUGGCGGCGUGCCUAACACAUGCAAGUCGAGCGAGAGACUUCGGUCUCUAGCGGCGGACGGGUGAGUAACACGUGGGUAACCUGCCUCAUAGAGGGGGAUAGCCUCCCGAAAGGGAGAUUAAUACCGCAUAUACUCUCGGUAUCACAUGAUACUUAGAGGAAAGGAGCAAUCCGCUAUGAGAUGGACCCGCGGCGCAUUAGCUAGUUGGUGAGGUAACGGCUCACCAAGGCGACGAUGCGUAGCCGACCUGAGAGGGUGAUCGGCCACAUUGGAACUGAGACACGGUCCAGACUCCUACGGGAGGCAGCAGUGGGGAAUAUUGCACAAUGGGCGAAAGCCUGAUGCAGCAACGCCGCGUGAGUGAUGAAGGCCUUCGGGUUGUAAAGCUCUGUCUUUUGGGACGAUAAUGACGGUACCAAAGGAGGAAGCCACGGCUAACUACGUGCCAGCCGCCGCGGUAACAC
Molecule: ribosomal RNA, 473 nt
Filed under: uncultured bacterium
Lineage: Bacteria
Description: bacterial SSU rRNA
Rfam family: Bacterial small subunit ribosomal RNA
Source: RNAcentral